RNAcentral lists this unclassified non-coding RNA (665 nucleotides) under Hevea brasiliensis (rubber tree). The record is from RNAcentral. Lineage: Eukaryota; Viridiplantae; Streptophyta; Magnoliopsida; Malpighiales; Euphorbiaceae.
CAAAUUUACAAUCUUUUACACAGCCAAAGGCGUAGAACCAAAGCAGAGCUCAAAAAUGGCGGAGGGGCUUGUUCUGCGAGGCACAAUGAGGGCUCACACCGACAUGGUGACGGCCAUCGCCACUCCCAUCGACAAUUCCGAUAUGAUUGUCACCUCUUCCCGUGACAAAUCCAUCAUCUUGUGGCGUCUCACCAAGGAAGAGAAGACCUACGGCGUCCCUCAACGAAGGCUCAAUGGUCACUCCCACUUUGUUCAAGAUGUUGUCCUCUCAUCCGACGGUCAGUUCGCCCUAUCUGGCUCCUGGGACGGCGAGCUCCGCCUCUGGGACCUUGCUACCGGCGUUACAUCACGUCGAUUCGUUGGACAUUCGAAAGAUGUUCUCUCUGUCGCCUUCUCCAUCGACAAUCGUCAGAUCGUCUCGGCCUCUCGUGACCGAACGAUCAAGCUAUGGAACACUCUCGGUGAGUGCAAGUACACAAUCCAGGACGGUGAUGCUCACUCUGACUGGGUUAGUUGUGUUAGAUUUAGCCCUAACACGCUCCAGCCAACUAUUGUUUCGGCGUCAUGGGACAAGACCGUGAAGGUCUGGAACUUGACCAAUUGCAAGUUGAGAGUUACUCUCGCUGGUCACGCUGGUUAUGUCAACACAGUGGCUGUUUCGCCGG